ACAGAGACACAAAGUAUUACAAUUUCUAAAAAACAAAAUUCAUCCUGGUGAGAAUAUAAUGCCAAAUCAUCAUCACCUCUCAUUGCAAUGCCUGCAUAUAUAACUUAGUGAAGUACUUUGAUCUUGAUCUUUGUUAAGACUUGUUCCAGCAAUAAAGAAAAUUGUUAAACGGAAUCUCGGUCACCUGACUGAGCAAAACAAGGAAAUUAGCUAUACCAUCUACUGUAAUGAAAGUGAAAUCAGUAAAAAGUAAACCCACAAUAAAAAAAUGAUGCUAGGCUAAUCGUAAAUUCUACUGUCGCUAUAAAUAAGUGACAGGCAUAAGUCCAGUUUCAUGUUGAUGGACUUGUAAAGGCCUCAAAAAGAAAAUAAGUAGCAUAUAUGAAAAAGACAAAGGGUCAAAUGAAGGUUAAAGGAGAUGUAAUGACGAACCUCACUAGAUUUGACACAUUUUACCCUUAAAGUCCAACUCUUCCUUCUCCUUAUCAUCCCUGUAACCUCCAUGUUUAAUUAUUAUCUUCCCAUAUGAUCUCCAGGACAUUGUCAUUCACAUCAACUUGCACUUAAUUUUCAAGCACUGGAACACAAUUCAGACAUAAGUCCAUAAAUGAAACCAUAUUUUCCUACAAUUCCUGUCAUUGAUUAUAGACAUAUCAUUUUCUAUUCUUCUAGGUCUUUACUCAUUCUAACCUAUAUAACCAUUGAGAAUAUUCAUAAUUUAUUGAAGCAUGAAAUUUUUAAAAGAUACAUCGAUUUAAGAUUUUCAAACAACAAAAAUGUUUUGCUUUGUAUUUCUAGUCUGACUUCCUUUUGGAAGUUAAAACUUUAAACUUUCUGUAGAGGAUUUAUCCUGAGUAGGAAAUAAUAAGAGCAUUGGUAAGAUAGUCUAGGUUCUAUCUAUCUAACAUGACAAUUGCAAACAAUGAGGCUCCCAAUCGUGAGGUCAUAUAAAUAAAACAUGUUAUGCAUAAAAAUAUGUCAACGCUACAUUGCUGUCAAAAAGAAAUUCAUUUUCUUUGUAGGUUCACUAAUAAUAAAAUGAAACAAGGGACAGUGCAUCAUAUAAGAGAUUAUCCAUUACCAGUUCCUGCAUCAUCAUGGUGCUCCAAGAUCUUGUAAACCUCCAUUGGAGCAGCAUAGCCAUUGAUCAAUGAGAAUGUACGUGAAUGUGAGGCACAUAAUAUGAGGCUCAGGGCCACAGGUCUAAGAAAUUGGCCAUCUGCGUAAAAUGCAAUAUCAUUUGAAUGAGAGCUUAGUGCUGUAGCAUACAGAAUUAAAUUGGUGUGAAGAUGCCCCACCAUAACUAUAAUAGAAUUAUCGUAGGGAUUAUAUUUGUCUCGGAAAGAUCAGUAAAACUCUCAAUGACAGACAGCAGAAGCAGCAACACAAACAAGAGGGUAUAUGGGAUAAAGGAAUCUGCAUGACAAUUAAAUAUAAGGACGGUUACAGAUCGAAGCAGGCAAGACCCGAUAUUAAAGAUUGUUCAGGACACGUAAAGAGACAAUGACAAAUGUGAUCUGUUUUGUUCCCUUGCAAAACAUGCCAUUCAAAUUAGCCCAAAGUUUUGGACCAAAACAAUUUCUGAACCCUCCUUGAAACUUCUAAAAGUCAUAUAUUGGAAUGUUCUUUAUUAAUUUAUCUAUUUUAUGUCAGGGAAAAGCAGGAAACAAAAUAUAAACAAAAUUUCCUAAAGACAUUUAGGAUAAAGAUUAAUUGUACCUUUCUUCUUUGUGCGGCUGCAGAGACAUAAAUGCCAGCCAUAUAUAAAGAGGAGAGAUUACAAUAAACAAGUCAGGGGCAUACUUUUUUCUUGCAAUUUGGCAGAAUUCCCAGGAAAAGCAAAGCAAGGAUGAAACAGAGUUGAAGUUGUAUAAACCAUUCCUUAUAUAAAAAAGUGGCCCCUCAAUCCCAUACAAAUGGCUCUCGCCACCUCCUAAUACAUUAUAUACUAAGAGAUUAAAAACAGAUGAUGUCCAGCGUUGGUAGUAGCAGUGAUCAACGAGUAUGGAGAGUGCCUGGAGAACGAACUUCAAUUAUUCACAAUUAAACACAAAUGGAAAAAACUAAAUAUAAACCAAUUACAAAUAUGUUAAUGUCAAACUCUAAGUUAAGAUAUCAAAACAAUAUAUCCAGAUAUAAUAACCAAAUGGAAUGAUUAAAUUUACUUACAAGAAGAGCUAUUGAGGUGACAGCACCAGAAAGAAAUGCUUGUUGAAUUGUUUAUCUAAAGAGUAGAAGGUCAGUGGAAGAAAAGCCAAGAUUGAAAAUGGCCAACCUAGGAUUACACCCACAGCUGCAACAGCAACAGCCCAUGCAGGUUUCCUCAAGUAGAAAUAACCCGAAUGAGAGGCUCAUAGCAUACAUAGAGAAUGAACUAGGAAGAAAACCUGGAAAAAAAUUAUCACAGUGAUAAAAUAUAGCAAUUUGAGAGAAUGACAGAAUUUGUUAGGCAUUCUCAUAUAGCUUAAAAGCACAUUUAUUGAUUACUUUGUUAGAAGCAGCUGAAAGCCUACAACCAACAAGGAAAAGCAUGACAAACACUUAUAUAUCAUCAUUCUGGAGAUUGACAAAGGAAGACGGAAAAAAACCACUCACUUGUGCUGGCCAAGACCAUUUUUGGAUUAGUUAAAUUGAAGUUUACAUUUAAUGGAGUAACUGAUUUGCAAUAUAAUCACAUAGUUCAUUUCACGUCCCAUCAUUCUCAAUUUAUUCUAGAAAAGCAAAAAGUGAAAACCGAUACUUUUUUUUUAUUUUUUAUUUUACUAGUCAUAUAUUUACCAUUCAUAGACCAAUCAUGACAGCAGCAGCUUUAUUUAUUUUCAUUGUUUCCCGCAAAGCUUCAAAUUGGUCAGGUUAUCAAAUUUAUUUUUUUAAAUGCCACCUAAUCCGAUUUAAACAGAUCUACCUAAUCCGGUUUAACAGAUGUUCUCUAGUGGUGUUAUUAAUGGAAUUUUAAUUUUAAAUAAAAAAGAAAGGAUCAAAUUUAAAAUAAACAAGAAUAAAGCGACUAAAAGCAUAAUUAGACCUCAUAAGACCAGACAUCAAAAGAAGCAAGUGUCCUUCCCGUCCCUGCUUUACCCCCAUUUCUACUCUGAGAUAUCUUAUAGUUUUGGUUCUAUUUAUGUCAACAUCUCAAUGAAAAAUAGUUAUAAACCAACAAAUGAUAGCAUAUGAAAACCCGGACGUACCAGUAUGAAGAUAAAUCUCUCGAUUCAUCUACUCCUGCUUUCAACAGCCAGACAUGAAGUGAACAAUUGACCGCUUUCAACACGCAAGCGCCCUUAACAGAAAUAGAAAUUAACAAAGUUAAACUACAAAAUAAAUUGUAUAGCCCAUUGCAACCUUUUUUAUACAACAACAAGAAAAAUGUCUCCGGCUAAUGAUGAGUGAGCUAAAAGCUGAGAAUCUAGAUCUCUUUCCACCAACAGCUAGCAAACAAACUAAGCAGACCAUACAUCAAUAAUUGCCCUUUUAAGAAAAAAGAAACAUCCUCAAUAGCAUGAAUGAAAGUGAGUUAUUUUAUAACAGUUGCCAUCUUCAUUCCUAAACCAGCAAGUCCCUGCAAAGCUCUAGCCCUCUAAAAAAGUACAACGUCAAAUAAUACCAGCAAAAGGAAUUUUGUAAUUAAAAUAUGUAUGUUCGUAUAUAUUUCUUAUUCCUAAGCAUUCUUCACAAACCACAAUCUCAACGUAAUAAAAACUCUCUGAGAAAGAGUAGCCAUCCCAAAAAAUGAAUCCGCAUAAAGCUCCAUCCUUUUUAAUCCGAAUCAUUAAUAAAAGCACUUCUGCAUCUAUAGCUUGGAUUAUUGGAUGAAUAAUUCGGAGGAACUAAGCAGAACAUAAGCAAUAAUAGUCAGCUAAACGAAGUGGCUGCGAUACCCAGGUGCGUUUUAUGGUUUAUUCAGUAAUAAAUCAAGAAAAAUUACAAACUUCACGUAUAACCCAAAAUUGAAAACCCAAAAAAGAAGAAAGUGGAGAGAAGGAAGAACCUGGUUUAGGAUUAAAGACGGUGUUUGGUGAGAGAGAUAAUCUACCACGUAUGGCAGUCUCCAUGCCUCUCUGACUCUAUAUUUCCACACACAGUCUCUCCUCACUUCUGUCUAACGAAAAAUGUUUUAAGUGAAAAUUUAGGGGUUUCAGAGGGGGGAAAUUUGGGGAUAAAAUCGCGCUU
Molecule: long non-coding RNA, 4170 nt
Filed under: Gossypium barbadense (sea-island cotton)
Lineage: Eukaryota; Viridiplantae; Streptophyta; Magnoliopsida; Malvales; Malvaceae
Description: long non-coding RNA (GBAR_LNC023577)
Source: RNAcentral